Long non-coding RNA from Lutra lutra (Eurasian river otter), 1034 nucleotides. RefSeq lists it as uncharacterized. The transcript is spliced from 3 exons. Lineage: Eukaryota; Metazoa; Chordata; Mammalia; Carnivora; Mustelidae. The record is from RefSeq and is a predicted model, not a curated record.
GGGAGAGGGAGAAGCAAGCUUCCCGCUGAGCAGGGAGCCCCAUGCAGAGCUUGAUCCCUGGACCCGGGGAUCAUGACCUGAGCCAAAGGCAGACAGCCGGCGACUGAGCCCCCAGGCGCCCCUGGGUGUAUUUUCCCUUAUCGCUUGUCACCACGGGGUCACCCUUACAGGGAGCCACGGUAACUCCACCACUGCCGUUGGUUGAUUAGGUUGCUGAGGGUUUUUCUACUUAUAUAAAGAGCUCGACUCUGGACACUGCCUUCGGACUAACUGCUCCCGGAAGCUCUAUGCGAGAAACGCCACGCCAGCAUCUCUGGGGUCUUUCGCUGCGUCCUGGGAUCCUUGCUGCAACCCUGGUGCAGGUGACUCAGAGGAGGCUGUCUCGUUCAGGAAGAUCCCUGUGCAUCUCUGUGUACCAGCAGUCACGGUCACCGCACGGGGAUGGCAGCGGGGGUGGGGGGGCUCCCGGAUGCUUUGCUAAAGAUGCCAGCCCCCCACCCCUCGGAAGUUCUGACCUAGCAGUCUGAGAAGGGGGGUGGCCAAGGACAGAAAACACUGCAGGCUCUUCCAGAAUUUGCUGGGGAAGGGAGAUGACACACCGUGCUUUCGAUGCUGGCUACCCAAGAGCUCUUUCUACUACGCAGGCCUCCUGCCUUCCAGGGCUCAGGUCGGGAUCAACUUUUCCUGGCUGCCCCUGGAAGGCCCUACUGAUGACACCAUCUCCGACCACGUAAGUUGGAUCACCCUGUCCAGGCCGGCAGCAGAACCUUCCAAAAGAGAGAGUUAGCCCGGAAGGACAGCCUGGAAGAGGAGGCUGAUGAGGGCCAACAGGAGGUCACCCCACUCCAGACCCCAGACCUCUUGCCGAACCCCAACCUGCCCACCCUGCUGAGGCUGUGGAGCCUUGAGCAAAUUACUAAACCUCUCUGGGCCCCAGCUUCCUCACUAGGAACAUGGAGCUGACACUGCCCACUGCCAGGCUCAUGGCGAAAACUAAGUAACGAAGUCCACAACACAGCAUGGGCAUUCACUCG